CAGACAAACCACUUACUGGCCAUGAUUAAGUGGCUAACCCUUUUCUCUCCAAGUCUCUUUAUCCUCCAGUAAAAGAGGAGUGACAGAAUACACCUCCCAGGAACUGUUACAAGGAUUGGUGAGAUAACACAAAUUCAUUUCACUACCAGGUCAAAGACACAAUCAAAAGCCCGACAAAUGGAAUUUGUGGAAUUGGAACAAAAAGCUUUUCUUCCUAGGCACAAGAACAUCAAAGCAUAAAUCCUUCAGGUAUCAGCAAUGACAUCACUUAAGAAUUUCUCAGAAUCUUUGGCACCACCCCAGGCCUACCGGAUCAGAAUCUGAAUUUUUUAACAAGAUCUCAGAUCUAGUCAAGAGUCCAGUCUGAUUUCUCUUUAUUGGGACUACCACCCAAAGCAGAAUGAGGAUGAUGUAACCACGCCCAGUGACUUCUGGAUACCACUGACUCUAGAUCCUGAAUUCCAGCAGAAUGGCUGACACCAACUGGUCUGAAGACCCUCACCAAGGAACUGACUCAGUGCAGGAAUGCAGUUUCUUCAUCUCCCUAUCCCUGACUUCACCCCUCACUUCUCAACCAAUCAGUGAUCACCACACUUUAGGCCAUCACCUGUGUCCAGACCCCUUAAAAACCCCAUCUGCAAACCUCUUGAAGAGGCAUAUUUGAGGUUUCCUCUCAUCUCCUCAUUUGGUUUCCCUACAAUUAUUAAAUUCUUUCUCUGCUGCAACUCCUACUUUUUCAGUGUAUUGGUCUGUUACUGUGCAACAGGAAAUCAGACCUGGUGGUCCUAUAGUAAGAGUUCACAGAAUAUGAUAUACAAAGUGAUCUGUGAUAUACAAAAACCGGCACAAUCUCACUCUUAAUAAGAAAAAUUCAACUUAAAAUUAAAAGUUUUUUUUCCUCAGAAUGGCAAAGAUCAAAGUUUGAUAACAUGGUUGGAAAGUAUGCAGACCGAUAUUCUCAUAUUCAUUGAUGAAGUGUAAAUUGAUACAUCCUUUGUCAGUACGGACAGGUUUCCCAACUCUAGGGGUGAAAUUUAUACAGACUACAGUGUGAAUGACAACCACUUCAAAUUGGGUGAUAUGAUGACCUUGACUCUGUGGAGGGUCAUUUGGCAAAAUAUCUCAAAAUAAAAAUGUACAUACAAUUUGA
This 1150-nucleotide long non-coding RNA is filed under the name Homo sapiens (human). Its description in RNAcentral is "HSALNT0320858". The record is from RNAcentral. Lineage: Eukaryota; Metazoa; Chordata; Mammalia; Primates; Hominidae.